GAAUUCGCGCAUAAAACUGAUGUCUCAAGUUCGACAAAGACGCAGAAAUCUUAUCUAGCCGAUAACAAAGAGACACAAUGUCAACAGGAGGAAUUUUUAACUCACUUAGCCCAUUCAAUGGAUCCUGCUGUCUUUUGGAUUUCUCCCAACAUUCCUAGCAGCAAAGAAGUUUUUCCACUUCCCGUUUUACCAACGAUUAAAGUUAACUGACCUGAAAAUUAGAGAAGUUAACAUUUGUACAAAUUUAAAUGAUUUAUUAAUCAUUGCAAUUGAGCUAAAAUUACCACAUGGAAAGCUAAGAUCAUCGAUGGACAAUAAACUUUCCUCUGUACCCCAGGAAAAUUUGCAGCCUUUCAUUAUAUAAUAUAAAAUAAUGGAUGAUUAUAUUACCAUAAAUAGAAUUGAGAUGACUGAUAAUUUUAUAGAAAACAGAGCUAAAGUGACUCGAAGGAGAUUAAUUUAAGAAGUGUAAUUCUUCAUUUUGUCAUUCUAUAUUUUAUUAGAGAGGGAAUUCGUUUCAUGAAACGCUGAUGACGUUUGUCUUUAUGACAUUGUAACAGUUAUUAAUUUUAAACUGAUGACUAUUCUUGGAUGUUAUAAAACAUGUGCAUCAAGCAUCAAAAUACACUUUCUACGAAGAAUUUAUUUGGUUUCCUAGAAACUAACCAGAGAAUAUCGAUGGAACGGAGCUAUAUUUGCGAUUUAGUUUGCAGUAUCAAGGAAGAAAAGUUCUUUGUUACCAUUCGAUAAGCUCUUCUGCCUCUCCAGGUCACGAUAAUAAACAUUAUUGUUCAAACAAACUGAGUAAAUGUAAAACAAAUGUUUGCAUUCGGCCGGGAGUAACUGGUUCUUCUCGAUAAGGUUGCAAUGUUAUGUUGUUAAUUCGCGAUACUUACCAUAAGAAGUAGUUGAUUUAAAUUAAGUAUCUGAUAGUCUAAUCAAAUUAAAUUGAAAUUAAAAUGUAUUUACGUAUUAAUUACAUGUAACAUUUCAGGAGAUAACUACCUCGAAUUAGCUUUAAAAUUAAAUCAUUAAUUAACUUACUAUAAGAUACAACGUGUAAGAAUCCAAAAUAGCAAAGAGACCGCAGAAAAUAGCAGUGAUCGCUGUGGUUGUGUAUCGAACGUGUAAAAUGGAUAGACCAUAUCUGGAAAUUUUCAGAAAUUUGUUUCAUGUUAUUAGAAAGUUAUUAACAAUAAUAGAAAAAAAACUUUUCAAGCAUGAAAUCUACCUAUAAAGAUACGUGAAUUUCCAUGCUCGUGAUAAACCAAUCGCAGCGAAAAUUCCAGUAGUGUAAGCAACGCCAAGACCAUCCUUAACUUCGGUGUUUCGAUGCAGGAUCCAGCAGUAAAGGAUAGCUACUAUCGUAAUGAUCGAAGAGCAAGAAAUCCAUGUUAGAAAAGACUCGCAUAAUUCCAAGAAAAGUACCGCUAACACCGUCAUACAUAACAACGUUCUAGUUGUGUGAAAUGGAAGAAGUUUUCUGCAUUCUCUAAGUUAAAAAGGAAGAAUAUUAAAAACAUGGAUUCUUUAUAAAAUAUCAGUGGAGGUUUCAAUUUCAUCACUUUUUACGUGACGAUAAUAAGAGAGAUUAUUUUUAAUAGACAUAUAAUUCAUAGUUAUUAUCCUCUCGACUAAUCUACGAUCUUUUAUAUAUAUAUUUAGAUCCAAUCGAUCGAUCUUCGACAAACCUUCAAUUACGGAAAUUAUCCCUUGUUACAACAAAGAAAUAAACAAAUCCAACAUCCUUUAUGAAAAUGAUCUAAAUUAACUCAAGUGCCAAUAUAAUAUCAACCAACUAUUAUCAGCUUCCGCCCUUUCGAAUUUUCGCUUGUUUUCUUAGAAUUUUAAGAAAAUAUUUUCCGGAUUGAACAAUUUCUUAAGAAGAACUGGUCAAAUUUAAGGGGAUUACGAGAAAUCUUUAUUGACUUUCCAGCGAAGGAGAAAGAAAAUAAUCGAGCAGCCAUCUGAUUUAAUUUUAUUAAGAUUCUUCGAACGCGCAACGUGACGCAAAUCGGGAAAAUGUGUAUAUGUGUAUGAUCACCCUUCAUGAACACAUGUUAUAAAUUAUUCUGAACGAGGAAGAAACAAAAGAAACGAGUUUGGUAUAGAAAAUAGAUAAAAGUUUUGUAGAUCCAGCCUUGUUUCCAGGAAUGGAAAAGUGUUACAGACGUUUGACAUAGAUCUCUUCUUAUUAAAGAUUUUUAAUUACAAUCAAUCAUCACUUAAGAAAUAAAUUGUAAUAUAAUUCCACAUAAAAAGGGUCACAUGAAGGCGAAGAAAUUAACAGGCUUGAGAAAUUUUUAUCACAUUAAUUGAAACGAAUUGUUCGAAUGGAACAUAGUAGUCCCAUAUGAAUCAUGGGACAUCCCAAAUGUGAAACGUUUCGUUUAAUUGAAGGUUGCUUCAAUUGGUGUUAGCUGAACUCGAAGUUCUAGCCUCUUAAAUACAAAUUAAACAUUCAUCGCACGUUUUCCUCAAAUCAACAGUAUGCAUUGUGACAAGCAAAGCAAAUACCAUUAUUAUUACGAAUAGCCAAAUCUUAUCGUUUUAAAACUAAUUUUCGAGAAUAUGGUAUCAAUAUUUCGAUAUAUAUACUAUUAUCAAGUAAUAUCAGAUUGUUAAAUAAUGUACAAAUUUUUCAUCAAAUUUGU
Molecule: long non-coding RNA, 2654 nt
Filed under: Apis florea (little honeybee)
Lineage: Eukaryota; Metazoa; Arthropoda; Insecta; Hymenoptera; Apidae
Description: uncharacterized LOC105736925
Source: RNAcentral